Molecule: ribosomal RNA, 536 nt
Filed under: uncultured bacterium
Lineage: Bacteria
Description: partial 16S ribosomal RNA
Rfam family: Bacterial small subunit ribosomal RNA
Source: RNAcentral
UGGGGAAUUUUGGACAAUGGGGGAAACCCUGAUCCAGCCAUCCCGCGUGUGCGAUGAAGGCCUUCGGGUUGUAAAGCACUUUUGGCAGGAAAGAAACGUCGCGGGUUAAUACCCCGCGAAACUGACGGUACCUGCAGAAUAAGCACCGGCUAACUACGUGCCAGCAGCCGCGGUAAUACGUAGGGUGCAAGCGUUAAUCGGAAUUACUGGGCGUAAAGCGUGCGCAGGCGGUUCGGAAAGAAAGAUGUGAAAUCCCAGAGCUUAACUUUGGAACUGCAUUUUUAACUACCGGGCUAGAGUGUGUCAGAGGGAGGUGGAAUUCCGCGUGUAGCAGUGAAAUGCGUAGAUAUGCGGAGGAACACCGAUGGCGAAGGCAGCCUCCUGGGAUAACACUGACGCUCAUGCACGAAAGCGUGGGGAGCAAACAGGAUUAGAUACCCUGGUAGUCCACGCCCCAAACGAUGUCAACUAGCUGUUGGGGGCCUUCGGGCCUUGGUAGCGCAGCUAACGCGUGAAGUUGACCGCCUGGGGAGUAC